This 21-nucleotide non-coding RNA is filed under the name Arabidopsis thaliana (thale cress). The record is from RNAcentral. Lineage: Eukaryota; Viridiplantae; Streptophyta; Magnoliopsida; Brassicales; Brassicaceae.
CGUAUUUAAGUCGUCUGCAAA